CCCUCUCGCCUAUCAGCCACCGAACCGGCUUGACGUGCCGGCCGGCACGUUAACUCACAAAUUAUUUCAAUGUAAUAUUGUCCAAAGUACAAUAAAUUCUCAAACUCAAGAAUGCAUUUUAUUAACUAGUUCUGCGUGAACAAAGUGGCGACCGUGACAGGACCUACAGUCUUCGGAUCGAAGCAAUUUUUCGAGAUUUCACACCGCGUGUCCAGUCGAAGGCACGAGAAGGCAUUCCUCGAACACGAGCAGACAAGUUUCCAUCUACCAAAAACGCCAACAUCACCCUGCGUGUCGAUUACCUGCGCCGAGAACCUUCGUCGAGCCAACCUAACCUGCACGUCUACCUUGAAACUCGAAGCCUACAUCUCCGAACAGACACGAGGAUUCCUAUACCUACACUACGUGUGCUCCUGCCUACCGAGGGGACAGUCUGGAUAUCAAGCCCGGAGCCGGCUGCCUACUGCACUGCGCGCCCUACAUUGCGCGGCUGCCUACCUGCACUGCACGCCCCUACGCGACGUGCCGCUGCCUAUCUGCACCGAGCCCUACCUUGCGCGCCGCUGCCUACUGCACCGUCAAGCCCCGGAGCCCAGCUGCCUGCCUAACUAAAACGACUGGAGCAAGCCCGUCAAGACUUCUGGAAGAGGUGGUCAAUGGAGUACGUAGCCGAGCUGCAGCAGCGCACGAAAUGGAAGGUGCGAUGCAGAGACCUCAAGGUUGAUGACCUAGUCCUGAUUAAGGACGAGAGCGCACCGCCGCUAUGCUGGCGCCUUAGACGAAUAUCCAGACUCUUCCCCGGCUCUGAUGGAGUGCCGCGAGUCGCAGACGUCUCUACAUCCCAAGGCAUCGUUCGAAGGGCCAUGAACCGCCUAUGUCUACUGCCGUCGCCGAAUGAAGACACCUUAGAACUCCUGAAAGCUACCUAGCUUUCAAGCCCCGGAGGAUGUCUAUGACAGACAGCUUCACAUCACUACCGUUCAAUCUCAUUCGGUCCGCGCGCGCGUUCACUCUCCCAUUCACUGUAUCCCCUCUCGCCUAUCAGCCACCGAACCGGCUUGACGUGCCGGCCGGCACGUUAACUCACAAAUUAUUUCAAUGUAAUAUUGUCCAAAGUACAAUAAAUUCUCAAACUCAAGAA
Ostrinia nubilalis (European corn borer) is the source of this 1141-nucleotide long non-coding RNA. RefSeq lists it as uncharacterized. The record is from RefSeq and is a predicted model, not a curated record. The transcript has 2 exons. NCBI's taxonomy places the organism in Eukaryota, Metazoa, Arthropoda, Insecta, Lepidoptera, Crambidae.